This 493-nucleotide ribosomal RNA is filed under the name uncultured bacterium. RNAcentral describes it as "bacterial SSU rRNA". It matches the Rfam family "Bacterial small subunit ribosomal RNA", at positions 34 to 507 of the family's 1533-position model. The record is from RNAcentral.
CGUUAGCGGCGCGCCUAACACAUGCAAGUCGCACGAGAAAGGGAGCAAUCCCCGGUACAGUGGCGCACGGGUGAGUAACACGUAGAUGACCUUCCCUGGAGUGGUGGAUAACCUGCCGAAAGGCGGGCUAAUACAGCAUGGGACCACAUGGUUUUGACCGAGUGGUGAAAGCGGGCCUCUGUUCACAAGCUCGCGCUCUGGGAUGGGUCUGCGUCCCAUCAGCUAGUUGGUGAGGUAAUGGCUCACCAAGGCAUCGACGGGUAGCUGGUCUGAGAGGAUGACCAGCCACACUGGAACUGAGACACGGUCCAGACUCCUACGGGAGGCAGCAGUGGGGAAUCUUGCGCAAUGGGCGAAAGCCUGACGCAGCGACGCCGCGUGGGUGAUGAAGGCCUUCGGGUUGUAAAGCCCUGUGGGGAGGAACGAACCGUACUGGGGCGAACACCCUCCGUACCUGACGGUACCUCCUUAGCAAGCAUCGGCUAACUCUGUG